Long non-coding RNA from Cervus elaphus (red deer), 480 nucleotides. RefSeq lists it as uncharacterized. The transcript has 2 exons. Lineage: Eukaryota; Metazoa; Chordata; Mammalia; Artiodactyla; Cervidae. The record is from RefSeq and is a predicted model, not a curated record.
CCGCCCCGCCCCGCGGCCGGCGACCCGCGACUAGCGACCGGGACCCGGACCCGCGCGACGGUGCGGCAGAGCCGGGGGACGGUGACCGCCACGCCCUCGCUCCGGCCGCCGCAGACCAACCGGGAGCUAGAGCCUGCCCCUGCCGGGGAAGUUCCCCGCGUGAAACCAGAGGCGAUUCACGCUGCGCCGCGUGAUGGUCCCGGAUCAGCGACCCGAAAGCGGGUGAGCUGCCGCUGUCUCCCACUUCUACGAGCCGGAGGGACCACGUAUGCAGCCAGAACCCGGCUAGGGAGUCCAAGGAGCUCGCCCUCAGCGACCACUGCGGCGGAGAGCAGAGAUGAAUCAGAGAUGAAUAAAUGAGUAACCACAUCAAUAUUUAAGUGUUCACUCGGACCGCUGGGGCUCAUGCGUCCCGAGUUGGGGAAAAUUAUAGGCUCUGGUGGAGGUUUUAAACAAUUACUUAUGUCCAUUAAGUGCCUA